CCCUUAGAUGUUCUGGGCGGCCCGCGCACUACAAUGGCGCUUUCAGCGAGUUCCUAUGUUGAAUUUUCCUGGGUAUUCUUGGAAGCGGCGUCUUGACUUGGGAUAGAUCCUUGUAAUUGUUGGUUUUGAACGAGGAAUUCCUUGUAAUCGCGGUUGAUCGGCUCGCGUUGAAUACGUCCCUGCCCUUUGUACACACCGCCCGUCGCUCCUACCGAUGAAUCGUCCGGUGAAGUUCACAGAGUGGCGGUUCGUGGAGUUGCUCGCGAAGUGAAAUGGACCUCACGAUUUAGAGGAAGGAGAAGUCGUAACA
This 310-nucleotide ribosomal RNA is filed under the name uncultured eukaryote. RNAcentral's name for it is "partial 18S ribosomal RNA". It matches the Rfam family "Eukaryotic small subunit ribosomal RNA", at positions 1470 to 1796 of the family's 1831-position model. The record is from RNAcentral.